AUUUUAGACCUGACAACAAUAUUAAUUGCAGCUUGUUCUGCUAUUGCAGCAGUUAUUUUCAUUAUUGGAGUAGCUGUUUACUGUGUCAGAAAAAAAGUUGAAUAUUGAAUUGAAUAUACCAGGGACACAUUCUCCACCUCCCAACUAGCAGGGUGAAAGCAGGUUUUUUACAUGUAUGAUUUGGUAGCAGGAUCAUGCACAUUUAUUACACUUCAACUGUUACUUCGCUAUGUUGCGUAGAUAUUUUUGUUGUCAUUUGAGGCUUACAAACUAAUAUGGACUUUGGACUCUUCAUCAGUGAAGGAGCUCGUUAUAUACAGUACCCCCCUUUGCUAAAGGGUACCCCCUCCACUGAUGAGAAUAGAUACUACACUUGAUCUUGGCCAAAAGGCAGAGAAGCAAUAGAAAUCGGUACACCCAAAAGAUCCAACACCUAAGCACAUGACAAUGAAUGUGGUCUAUACUGUCCAUUGUAGUGAAGAGUGCUCAGAUAUAUACAUUGGGGAGACAAAACAACCAUUCAGUAAGAGAAUGGCCCAACAUAGGACGGCAAACUCCCCAGGACAAUACUCCGCAGUCGAUCCAUAUCUAAAGUAAAAGGGACACUCCUUAGAGGACAAAUUUUAGACCAAGAUGGUUUGAAAGAUAUAUGAAGGAGGGAGGCUAUUUAUGCCAAAGUGGAAAAACCAUCCCUGAACAGAGGAAGGGGCCUGAGACAAUGCUUGUCAUCAACAUACAAUGUCGCUUUAACAUCCUCACCCAGCUGUUUCAUAACAAUUCACGCUUCCAGUCAUGUACAUUGAAAAAUGAACACCUGAUCAACGUACCAUUGUGACUGGAUCACACUUUCACACAUCUGUGAGUUUCAGCCAACACCAUCUAAAUAAAGUUCAAUGGAAGCAUUGUGA
Xenopus laevis (African clawed frog) is the source of this 908-nucleotide long non-coding RNA. RefSeq lists it as uncharacterized. Lineage: Eukaryota; Metazoa; Chordata; Amphibia; Anura; Pipidae. The transcript has 2 exons. The record is from RefSeq and is a predicted model, not a curated record.